CCUACGGGAGGCAGCAGUGGGGGAUAUUGGACAAUGGGGGAAACCCUGAUCCAGCGACGCCGCGUGAGUGAAGAAGUAUUUCGGUAUGUAAAGCUCUAUCAGCAGGGAAGAAAGAAAUGACGGUACCUGAGUAAGAAGCCCCGGCUAACUACGUGCCAGCAGCCGCGGUAAUACGUAGGGGGCAAGCGUUAUCCGGAAUUACUGGGUGGAAAGGGAGCGUAGACGGUAAUGCAAGUCUGGAGUGAAAGGCGGGGGCUCAACCCCCGGACUGCUCUGGAAACUGUGUAACUGGAGUGCAGGAGAGGCAGGCGGAAUUCCUGGUGUAGCGGUGAAAUGCGUAGAUAUUAGGAGGAACACCAGUGGCGAAGGCGGCCUGCUGGACUGUAACUGACGUUGAGGCUCGAAAGCGUGGGGAGCAAACAGGAUUAGAUACCCCUGUAGUC
This 443-nucleotide ribosomal RNA is filed under the name uncultured bacterium. RNAcentral describes it as "partial 16S ribosomal RNA". It matches the Rfam family "Bacterial small subunit ribosomal RNA", at positions 338 to 795 of the family's 1533-position model. The record is from RNAcentral.